RNAcentral lists this ribosomal RNA (429 nucleotides) under Bacteroidota bacterium. RNAcentral's name for it is "Bacteroidetes bacterium partial 16S ribosomal RNA". It matches the Rfam family "Bacterial small subunit ribosomal RNA", at positions 355 to 776 of the family's 1533-position model. Lineage: Bacteria; Pseudomonadati; Bacteroidota. The record is from RNAcentral.
UAGGGAAUCUUCCGCAAUGGACGCAAGUCUGACGGAGCAACGCCGCGUGAGUGAAGAAGGACUUCGGUUCGUAAAACUCUGUUGUUAGAGAAGAACAGCGCAUAGAGUAACUGUUAUGCGUGUGACGGUAUCUAACCAGAAAGCCACGGCUAACUACGUGCCAGCAGCCGCGGUAAUACGUAGGUGGCAAGCGUUGUCCGGACUUAUUGGGCGUAAAGCGAGCGCAGGCGGUCAAUUAAGUCUGAUGUGAAAGCCCCCGGCUCAACCAGCGAGGGUCAUUGGAAACUGGUGGACUUGAGUGCAGAAGGGGUGAGUGGAAUUCCCUGUGUAGCGGUGAAAUGCGUAGAUAUCUGGAAGAACACCAGUGGCGAAGGCGACUUUCUGGUCUGUAACUGACGCUGAGGCUCGAAAGCGUGGGUAGCAAACAGG